CACACGCAAGCAGAUUAAAUGUACCGUUAGGUGUGUGAGCGCGAGCGUCGCUAAUAACAAUUAAUUAGAAAUUAAACCCGUAUAUGGGCAAAACUAAUAUUUCUAUCGAAAAUGAGUCUAAACUUGUAAUCUAUGUAUGGGCUGUGGGAGUGAGUCAGAGAAACAAGCACACUCACGCAUACAACAAUAAGAGUAGCGAUUCAAACAGCGGCAAACAGCUGAGAAGUUUAAAGAAGAAGACGAUGUUAAAGCAGCUAUCGGGAGCAGCAGAUCAAGCAUUCUUCUUGUCACAUCAGUGGAAAUGCACUUAUUUUGGAUUUGCGCAUUUGCAAUAAAAAUACCAUGUAGUUAAAUUGAAAUGGAUAUGAAAUCAUCAUUAUAAAUAUAGCAAAAAACAAGCACACAUUACACACACUUGCAAGUGUGUGCGAGAGUGAAUUUAACAAACAAAAAGUGAUUCACGUAAAAAUAGCCAACCAACAAAAAUACAUAUCUUAACAGCUACAGCUGUCUUCUGUCCUCGAACACUUAGCGCCCACACAUACAAAGUCACAAAAUAUAUAUGUACAUUGAUUAAUAUAUAUAUGCUUAAGUGUGUUCAUGUACGUGUCCAUAUUAAAUUCCAGACAGCCUGGCCACAGGAGCGGAAAGAAUAAAAAAAACCCCACCCAACGUAACGACGACUAACGCAGCCGGCACUUUUCGCUGCUUACUGCACUUGGCUAGCGAUUUUUGCACACAACUCAAAAAAUGUUCAUCAAUUAAUUUUACGCACAUUUUGUUGUUUAUAAUUAAAGUGAAGCACGGCAAACAAACACACACAUAUAUAUCUAUUAUUGUUCACUUACCACAAAAAGUAAUAUAAUGCGAAGGUAAGCAAAUUAUUAAAUACACAGUUUUUAAUAGAGCCGCCUCAAACGU
Long non-coding RNA from Drosophila albomicans, 921 nucleotides. RefSeq lists it as uncharacterized. NCBI's taxonomy places the organism in Eukaryota, Metazoa, Arthropoda, Insecta, Diptera, Drosophilidae. The transcript is spliced from 2 exons. The record is from RefSeq and is a predicted model, not a curated record.